Salmo salar (Atlantic salmon) is the source of this 54-nucleotide non-coding RNA. The record is from Rfam. Lineage: Eukaryota; Metazoa; Chordata; Actinopteri; Salmoniformes; Salmonidae.
CAAUGUUGUCUUUGUAAGUCACUCUGGAUAAGAGCGUCUGCUAAAUGACGUAAA